UACGGAGGGUGCAAGCGUUAUCCGGAUUUACUGGGUUUAAAGGGUGCGUAGGCGGACCUUUAAGUCAGUGGUGAAAGCUCCGAGCUUAACUCGGAAACUGCCAUUGAUACUAUUGGUCUUGAAUUCGGUUGAGGUUGGCGGAAUGUGUCGUGUAGCGGUGAAAUGCUUAGAUAUGACACAGAACACCGAUUGCGAAGGCAGCUCACUAAGCCAUAACUGACGCUGAUGCACGAAAGCGUGGGGAGCAAACAGG
This 253-nucleotide ribosomal RNA is filed under the name uncultured bacterium. RNAcentral's name for it is "partial 16S ribosomal RNA". It matches the Rfam family "Bacterial small subunit ribosomal RNA", at positions 524 to 776 of the family's 1533-position model. The record is from RNAcentral.